RNAcentral lists this ribosomal RNA (406 nucleotides) under uncultured bacterium. RNAcentral describes it as "partial 16S ribosomal RNA". It matches the Rfam family "Bacterial small subunit ribosomal RNA", at positions 30 to 526 of the family's 1533-position model. The record is from RNAcentral.
AUUGAACGCUGGCGGCAGGCUUAACACAUGCAAGUCGAGCGAGCGGCGGACGGGUGAGUAAUGUCUGGGAAACUGCCUGAUGGAGGGGGCUAACUACUGGAAAAGGUAGCUAAUACCGCAUACCAUCAGAUGUGCCCAGAUGGGAUUAGCGAGUAGGUGGGGUAAUGGCUCACCUAGACGACGAUCCCUAGCUGGUCUGAGAGGAAGACCAGCCACACUGGAACUGAGACACGGUCCAGACUCCUACGGGAGGCAGCAGUGGGGAAUAUUGGCCAAUGGGCGCAAGCCUGAUCCAGCCAUGCCGCUUGUGUGAAGAAGGCCUUCGGGUUGUAAAGCACUUUCAGCGAGGAGGCGUUACUCGCAGAGAAAGCACCGGCUAACUCCGUGCCAGCAGCCGCGGUAAUAC